RNAcentral lists this ribosomal RNA (274 nucleotides) under uncultured bacterium. RNAcentral describes it as "partial 16S ribosomal RNA". It matches the Rfam family "Bacterial small subunit ribosomal RNA", at positions 523 to 796 of the family's 1533-position model. The record is from RNAcentral.
AUACGGAGGGGGCAAGCGUUGUUCGGAAUUACUGGGCGUAAAGGGCGCGUAGGCGGAUUAUCAAGUCAGGCGUGAAAGCCCUGGGCUCAACCCAGGAACUGCGUUUGAUACUGGUUGACUAGAGGCCGGGAGAGGGUAGUGGAAUUCCCAGUGUAGAGGUGAAAUUCGUAGAUAUUAGGAAGAACACCGGUGGCGAAGGCGGCUACCUGGACCGGACCUGACGCUGAGGUGCGAAAGCGUGGGGAGCAAACAGGAUUAGAAACCCCGGUAGUCC